UCAGGACGAACGCUGGCGGCGUGCUUCAUACAUGCAAGUCGAACGAGAAUCUCACUUCGGUGAGAGGAAAGUGGCGGACGGGUGAGUAAUGUGUAGAGAAUCUGCCCUAGAGUGAGGGACAACAGAGGGAAACUUCUGCUAAUACCUCAUAUGCGCGUAGCUGAGAUGCUAUUCGUGAAAACUCCGGUGCUCUGGGAUGAGUCUGCAUCUGAUUAGCUAGUUGGGGGUGUAAUGGACCACCAAGGCGACGAUCAGUAGCUGGUUUGAGAGGAUGAUCAGCCACAAUGGGACUGAGACACGGCCCAUACUCCUACGGGAGGCAGCAGUAGGGAAUUUUGCGCAAUGGGGGAAACCCUGACGCAGCAACGCCGCGUGAACGAAAAAGCCCUUCGGGGUGUAAAGUUCUGUCAGUGGGGACGAAACUUGACGGUACCCACAGAGGAAGCAUCGGCUAACUCCGUGCCAGCAGCUGC
This 473-nucleotide ribosomal RNA is filed under the name uncultured bacterium. RNAcentral describes it as "bacterial SSU rRNA". It matches the Rfam family "Bacterial small subunit ribosomal RNA", at positions 24 to 518 of the family's 1533-position model. The record is from RNAcentral.